RNAcentral lists this ribosomal RNA (116 nucleotides) under Oryzias melastigma (Indian medaka). Lineage: Eukaryota; Metazoa; Chordata; Actinopteri; Beloniformes; Adrianichthyidae. The record is from RNAcentral.
AUUUUAAGUUCCAACUUGAACUCGCCCCAUCUCAUCUGACCUCAGAAGCUAAGCAGGGUUGAGUCUAUUUGGCCAUCAGAUGGGAGUCUGGCUGGAACUAGCAAGUGCUGAAAGUU